This 132-nucleotide small nuclear RNA is filed under the name Choloepus hoffmanni (Hoffmann's two-fingered sloth). RNAcentral's name for it is "U4 spliceosomal RNA (ENSCHOG00000014537.1)". It matches the Rfam family "U4 spliceosomal RNA". From Rfam's summary of the family: U4 small nuclear RNA (U4 snRNA) is a component of the major U2-dependent spliceosome. The structure of U4 snRNA from yeast and human has been reported. U4 snRNA presents a k-turn RNA motif in the 5p-SL related to recognition of Snu13 protein. The record is from RNAcentral. Lineage: Eukaryota; Metazoa; Chordata; Mammalia; Pilosa; Megalonychidae.
AGCUUUGAAGAGUGGCAGUAUCAUAGCCAAUGAGAUUUAUCUGAGGCACAAUAAUUACUAAUUGAAUACUUUUUCCAAAACUGCUAUGGACAAAUGAAUCCUUUGUGCCUCCAGUUUUCCACCUUUAUGGGA